Molecule: non-coding RNA, 1950 nt
Organism: Oryza sativa Japonica Group (Japanese rice)
Lineage: Eukaryota; Viridiplantae; Streptophyta; Magnoliopsida; Poales; Poaceae
Source: RefSeq, a predicted model, not a curated record
UCCGACCCUUCAUCUCCUUCCCAGGACGGAGCAGCCCGCCGCUCAAUGCCUCUGCUUCUUCCUCCAGCGCCAGCGGCGCCUCCCCUCCCCUCCCCGGCUCCCCCGCCCUAUUGUUGCUUCCUCCAGCAGCACCUCUUGCCGCCUCCCCUCCAGGAUCCUCUCGGUUGCUUUACGCCGGCAGGGAGCAUAUCCGCCGCGCUAACGGUGUGGUUGCGCUUCCCCUGCCCCCACCACACCCCCGCGGGAAAGCCGGAAACCGAUGAUUCCCUUCAUAACGGUCAUCAUGUGCUACCGACAACCCUUCCCUCCAUGGCUCCAUUGAUUCGUCUCCUGCAUCUUCUUUCACCUCCCUCAAACUUUCAAUUUUGGUGCGGAACUAAACACAGCCCUACUGAAGGAACUCCUUUCUUUGGCUUCAACAGGCAACAGCGCGCCAAAAACUGAUCUAUUCACCGGUGGCCACGUUCCCGCCCAUAGAGUAUCGACUAACAAAAAAAAAAGUCCCUGCUCUUCUCCAGCUUAUUGAAAAAGGCAUUUCUCCCGUCUAUUUAGCCGGAUCAUUCCUGUCAACAUAGUGCGCUCCAGCAGAUUCUUACACAAUAAUACAUCCAGAUUUUUUCAUGUAAACUACAAUGAGCUGAAAGGUUGCUGUGUAUGAAUCUGAUUCAUCAAGAUAAGGGGCCAGGUCUGUAUCUCGAUGACUUUGUUUAAUCUUUCGUUUAGCUUAUUUAAUCUUUUAGCCAUCUAUGUUUAGUUUAUUUUAUCGUUUGUUUCUCCAAGGUUUAUUUACCUAAACCUUUGAUAGCAUGCAUUCCCUAUUCAAAUAUGUGUUUCACUCUUCCUUUAUCAUUCCCUGUGGGCAAUUUGAUUGCUUCGUAAUCUGUUCAGUUGAGAAGAUGUUAGCUGUGCAAUCCUAUAUUGCGAUUCACUCUUUUAUCAUCCCUUAUAGCAGUUGUAUAACUUUACGUCUUUCUAAUCCAUGAAUCUUUUAUUUCUCUCACAAACAAAGAGGUAUUGACACUUCAGUGUUGACGACUCAUUUAGGUAAGACUUCAAUCCAUACAAAUUCAGCUCCUCAGUUGUCCAGUAACUUUGUUCCAUCCAAGUUUCCACCUGUACGAGGUACUACAUUUUCAUCUAUGCUGCAUAGGUGCCACCUGCAAUAAUCCCCUGUAUUAUUUGAUUGAUUAACUGUUGUAGGCAUCUGUUAGCUUACUUGCCGCUCUUUCAUAUGUACAACUGCUUCCAAAUGUGGUGUGCUGCUCCUGUCAAUCUUCAAUCCGCAAAAAUAAGGCUGAUAGCCAAAGGUUUGUUUGGAAGAUUCAGUAUUCUCCGUAAGCAGAAGUUCUCAAAGCUACCUUCUACCUAGAUGGCCACUAGAAGGUUGGACUCCCUUUUUAUGCUACUAGAUCAUACAUCCUUACAUUUUUUCUUUGGAUUUUCAUGGCACAUAUUUUCGCUAAUGGCGAACAAGUUUAUGAUCCCCUAUCUUUCCAUCUUCCUAUUUCAUUUGUUUGUCACUAAUGAAAAUUAGGAUGGUGAUUUCAGAACUUUUUGAGGGAUUCACCCUAUUUUCCAGUUCUUUCAGCUCAAUAUCGUUCCUUUUGAUCGUAAUGAUAUAAUGUCAUCAAGUGAUUUGAUCAAGCAGAAAGAGUGCAACCAAUAACCAUUUGCAUCAGUACACAGGCCAUCUUGCAAUGCCAUCUCCUAUAUAGGUCAGCUUGCGCAAAUACGCUGUUGCUCCAUUGAUCACGUUGUUUGCUGGUUGUAGAUGAAGAUGCUUGAUGCUUAAUCAAAUAAUGUACGGACUGCUGCUUAAAGCAGUUAAAUUAGUAUGUUUAAAAAGAAUGAACCUAAUAAUCAGUUCCAUUCUUGAUGAACUUGCCGUAAGUUAAAAACAUAUUUGGCAUGCUUUUCUAAUUGUUUGAGUUUAUAUUGUAGACAAUCCCA